CACAAUGGGCGCAAGCCUGAUGCAGCAACGCCGCGUGAGGGACGAAGGCCUUCGGGUUGUAAACCUCUUUUAGUAGGGAAGAAGCGACUGGGUUUUCCUGGGAGUGACGGUACCUGCAGAAAAAGCACCGGCUAACUACGUGCCAGCAGCCGCGGUAAUACGUAGGGUGCAAGCGUUGUCCGGAAUUAUUGGGCGUAAAGAGCUCGUAGGCGGUUUGUCGCGUCUGCUGUGAAAACCCGAGGCUCAACCUCGGGCCUGCAGUGGGUACGGGCAGACUAGAGUGCGGUAGGGGAGAUUGGAAUUCCUGGUGUAGCGGUGGAAUGCGCAGAUAUCAGGAGGAACACCAAUGGCGAAGGCAGAUCUCUGGGCCGUAACUGACGCUGAGGAGCGAAAGCAUGGGGAGCGAACAGGAUUAGAUACCCUGGUAGUCCAUGCCGUAAACGUUGGGAACUAGAUGUGGGGACCAUUCCACGGUCUCCGUGUCGCAGCUAACGCAUUAAGUUCCCCGCCUGGGGAGUACGGCCGCAAGGCUAAAACUCAAAGGAAUUGACGGGGGCCCGCACAAGCGGCGGAGCAUGCGGAUUAAUUCGAUGCAACGCGAAGAACCUUACCAAGGCUUGACAUAUACCGGAAACGGCUGGAAACAGUCGCCCCGCAAGGUCGGUAUACAGGUGGUGCAUGGUUGUCGUCAGCUCGUGUCGUGAGAUGUUGGGUUAAGUCCCGCAACGAGCGCAACCCUCGUCCUAUGUUGCCAGCACGUAAUGGUGGGAGCUCAUGGGAUACUGCCGGGGUCAACUCGGAGGAAGGUGGGGAUGACGUCAAAUCAUCAUGCCCCUUAUGUCUUGGGCUUCACGCAUGCUACAAUGGCCGGUACAAAGGGCUGCGAUACCGCAAGGUGGAGCGAAUCCCAAAAAGCCGGUCUCAGUUCGGAUUGAGGUCUGCAUCUCGACCUCAUGAAGUCGGAGUCGCUAGUAAUCGCAGAUCAGCAACGCUGCGGUGAAUACGUUCCCGGGCCUUGUACACACCGCC
RNAcentral lists this ribosomal RNA (1029 nucleotides) under uncultured Cryobacterium sp. Its description in RNAcentral is "bacterial SSU rRNA". It matches the Rfam family "Bacterial small subunit ribosomal RNA", at positions 367 to 1394 of the family's 1533-position model. The record is from RNAcentral. Lineage: Bacteria; Bacillati; Actinomycetota; Actinomycetes; Micrococcales; Microbacteriaceae.